Molecule: ribosomal RNA, 292 nt
Filed under: uncultured bacterium
Lineage: Bacteria
Description: partial 16S ribosomal RNA
Rfam family: Bacterial small subunit ribosomal RNA
Source: RNAcentral
GUGACAGCAGCCGCGGUAAUACGUAGGGGGCAAGCGUUGUUCGGAAUUACUGGGCGUAAAGGGCGCGUAGGCGGUACGACAAGUCUGGAGUGAAAGCCCGGGGCUCAACCCCGGAAUGUCUUUGGAAACUGUCGAACUUGAGUGCGGAAGAGGCAUCUGGAAUUCCCAGUGUAGCGGUGAAAUGCGUAGAUAUUGGGAAGAACACCUGAGGCGAAGGCGGGAUGCUGGGCCGACACUGACGCUGAGGCGCGAAAGCCAGGGGAGCGAACGGGAUUAGAUACCCUAGUAGUCC